AGUGAACGCUGGCGGUAGGCCUAACACAUGCAAGUCGAACGGCAGCACAGUAAGAGCUUGCUCUUACGGGUGGCGAGUGGCGGACGGGUGAGGAAUACAUCGGAAUCUACUUUUUCGUGGGGGAUAACGUAGGGAAACUUACGCUAAUACCGCAUACGACCUACGGGUGAAAGCAGGGGAUCUUCGGACCUUGCGCGUUUCAAUGAGCCGAUGUCGGAUUAGCUAGUUGGCGGGGUAAAGGCCCACCAAGGCAACGAUCCGUAGCUGGUCUGAGAGGAUGAUCAGCCACACUGGAACUGAGACACGGUCCAGACUCCUACGGGAGGCAGCAGUGGGGAAUAUUGGGCAAUGGGCGCAAGCCUGAUCGAGCAAUGCCGCGUGAGUGAAGAAGGCCUUCGGGUUGUAAAGCCCUUUUGUUGGGAAAGAAAAGAAGUAGGUUAAUACCCCGCUGUUCUGACGGUACCUAAAGAAUAAGCCCCGGCUAACUUCGUG
This 492-nucleotide ribosomal RNA is filed under the name uncultured bacterium. RNAcentral's name for it is "partial 16S ribosomal RNA". It matches the Rfam family "Bacterial small subunit ribosomal RNA", at positions 29 to 507 of the family's 1533-position model. The record is from RNAcentral.